GAUGAACGCUAGCGGCAGGCCUAAUACAUGCAAGCCGAACGGCAAGAUUUUCAGCAAUGGAAAUCCUAGAGUGGCGUAAGGGUGCGUAACACGUAUGCAAUCUGCCCUCAACAGGAGGAUAGCUCCCCGAAAGGGGAAUUAAGACUCCAUAAGAUCUUAGAGUGGCAUCACUUAGAGAUUAAACUACCAGGGGUUGAGGAUGAGCAUGCGCAUGAUUAGUUAGUUGGCGGGGUAACGGCCCACCAAGACGAUGAUCAUUAGGGGAACUGAGA
Molecule: ribosomal RNA, 272 nt
Filed under: uncultured bacterium
Lineage: Bacteria
Description: partial 16S ribosomal RNA
Rfam family: Bacterial small subunit ribosomal RNA
Source: RNAcentral